UGUGGUGGGAACAUUCAGUCGGGGUGUCGUGUCGCAAGCUGGGCAUGCUUUAUGGUUCCCGUGACGGGGCCGGCUCGGCUAGCGUUGCGCGGCAAACUGACGCAUUUGUUUCCCAUCCGAAGGACGCCGCAACCGGUUGGUGGACGGUCUUAAGGGCGAGAACUGGAAGGUGGCCGGCGGCGCGCCUCGUGCGUGUCGCCGGUUGUUAGCCAUCUCGCAGGACGGCCCGUUCGCCGACCGUGGCAAUAAAGAGGCCCGGCUGGGCUUCGUCGUCUCCUCCUUGCGUUGCGAGUGGACAAGCGUCGCAGGAGUUCGUGAGCGGUGUGAUCGCACGAAGCGAGUUCGUGGCCACACGCCGCCGCGUCUCUGUUGGCUGAUGCAUGACUCGCGGGAGUGAUUGACGGUUUGCGGCGAGUAGAUCGGUCACCCACCCGACCCGUCUUGAAACACGGACCAAGGAGUCU
This 464-nucleotide ribosomal RNA is filed under the name Gonatium rubellum. Its description in RNAcentral is "eukaryotic LSU rRNA". The record is from RNAcentral. Lineage: Eukaryota; Metazoa; Arthropoda; Arachnida; Araneae; Linyphiidae.